RNAcentral lists this ribosomal RNA (301 nucleotides) under uncultured bacterium. Its description in RNAcentral is "partial 16S ribosomal RNA". It matches the Rfam family "Bacterial small subunit ribosomal RNA", at positions 509 to 809 of the family's 1533-position model. The record is from RNAcentral.
CAGUAGCCGCGGUAAUACGGAGGGGGCUAGCGUUGUUCGGAAUUACUGGGCGUAAAGGGCGCGUAGGCGGCCAUUCAAGUUAGAUGUGAAAGCCCUGGGCUCAACCUAGGAAUUGCAUUUGAUACUGUUUGGCUUGAGUUCGGGAGAGGUGAGUGGAAUUCCCAGUGUAGAGGUGAAAUUCGUAGAUAUUGGGAAGAACACCAGUGGCGAAGGCGGCUCACUGGACCGACACUGACGCUGAGGCGCGAAAGCGUGGGGAGCAAACAGGAUUAGAUACCCCCGUAGUCCCUGUCUUUAUACA